Long non-coding RNA from Ruditapes philippinarum (Manila clam), 1601 nucleotides. RefSeq lists it as uncharacterized. Lineage: Eukaryota; Metazoa; Mollusca; Bivalvia; Venerida; Veneridae. The record is from RefSeq and is a predicted model, not a curated record. The transcript is spliced from 3 exons.
GUACUGUUGUGUGGAGUCAUGAGGCUGUCCUGCUCCUAAUUAGUUUGUAUGCUGAGCAUAAAAGUAAGUUCAGCAAUAGUAUUUACAAACGAAAGGAUUUUGGAUUAACAUUGCAGCUGGUAUAGCCAAAAAAACACAUCAUUUUCAGCUGCACCACUGUGACAGCAAGUGGCGUGCCUUGAAACACAAGCACAAGGUUAUAACUGAUGUUAACCGUAAAAGUGGGCGUGGACGUCAAUCUUGGCAAUACUUUGAUACCAUGAAUGAGGUUUUAGCAAGUGACUGCAGUAAGACCUGUAAGAGUGAUUGGCUCUGCAGAAAAUGUUGGAGAAACAAAGCAGACAGUGUAAGUAAGCAAAAGUAAGCCACCACUGCAACCAACUUCAUUGCGGGUAAGAACGCCGUAGCCGUCAUUAAAGACCAGCAUCACCUCCAACCCCAGCAAGGUCACUGACAGCAUCACCCUAACCAUCAGAUAGUGGAGUUGUAGAGACAUCUAUAAGGAAGAGGAGUGGCGAACUACCAGUGUGGUUUCUUGUUCAUAUACUGAACAGGCCAGUAUGGCGUAUGGAGGCUCCAGAGGAGAGCAAUAGGCAGAUGAUUGUUAUUGCUAGUGAAAAAAUCUAUCCUGAAAGCACUGGCAAAAAGUCUUUCAAAACAGUGAACAAGAAAGUUUUUUGUACAAGAUGUUUACCUAGAACUAUAAAGACUUUGUUGCACAAGUUAAAUAAUACAUGCUGCAACAUAGCAGAUUUUAUGCCCCAAAAGGGCGGCAUAUUAAAAUCGCACCGUCUGUCCGUCCCCAUUUCAUUCGUGUCAGGACUGUAACUUUGUCAUACAUUGAGGGAUUUUGAAAUAACUUGGCACAUAUGUUAACCACCAGAAGACGAUGUGUCGCGUUCAGUAAUCACGUACCCACCUCGAAGGUCAAGGUCACACUAACACUGGUGUUUCACUUUAUCACAAUUAGAGUUUACAGGUACACACAUUUGUGUCCGGACUAUAACUUUGUCGUGCAUUGAAGGAUUUUAGAAUAACUUGGCAUAAAUGUCUACCACAUCAAGAUGAUGUGUCGCAUCCAAUAACCAUGUCCCUAUCUCAAAGGUCAAGGUCAUUCUACCAUUUUGUUUUGUUUCAUUUUAUCACAAUUAGAGUUUAUAGGUACACACAAUCGUGUCUGAACUGUAACUUUGUCAUGCAUUGAAGGAUUUUAAUAUAACUAGGCAUAUAUGUCUACCACAUAGGGACGACAUCUUAAAACCCAUGACCCUACCUUCAAGGUCAAGGUCACACUUAUAGUUUGACAUUACUCAUUCUUUCGAGAAGAGUGUGAAGUAACUCGUGUCUGUACAGUAACUUUGUCGCGCAUGGAAACAUUUUAAAAUAAAAUGGCACAAAUGUCUACCACAUCAAGACAAUGUGUCACGGCUAAGGCUCAUGUCUGUCUGUUUGUCUGUGUGUCCCCACUUACACAACAAUCAUGUCCAGACUGUAACUUUGUCAUGCAGUGAGGGAUUUUGAAAUAACUUUGCACAAAUUUCUAUCUCAUUCUGUCUUGUCCAGGAAACAAGGUCAAGGUCACACUUAUAUUUCACAAUUAG